UUUUCCUACGGGACGCAGCAGUGGGGAAUAUUGCACAAUGGGGGAAACCCUGAUGCAGCAACGCCGCGUGAGUGAGGAAGUAUUUCGGUAUGUAAAGCUCUAUCAGCAGGGAAUAGAAAAGAAGGUACCUGAAAAAGAAGCCCCGGCUAACUACGUGCCAGCAGCCGCGGUAAUACGUAGGUGGCAAGCGUUGUCCGGAUUUACUGGGUGUAAAGGGCGUGUAGCCGGGCUGACAAGUCAGAUGUGAAAUUCCGGGGCUCAACCCCGGACCUGCAUUUGAAACUGUUGGUCUUGAGUAUCGGAGA
This 305-nucleotide ribosomal RNA is filed under the name uncultured bacterium. RNAcentral describes it as "bacterial SSU rRNA". It matches the Rfam family "Bacterial small subunit ribosomal RNA", at positions 334 to 655 of the family's 1533-position model. The record is from RNAcentral.